UCUAAUAGCUUAAACUCUCAAAACACUACCCUAAACCCCCUAAUCAAACCCAGUAUUUUACU
RNAcentral lists this transfer RNA (62 nucleotides) under Sistrurus miliarius (pigmy rattlesnake). RNAcentral describes it as "tRNA-Thr". Lineage: Eukaryota; Metazoa; Chordata; Lepidosauria; Squamata; Viperidae. The record is from RNAcentral.